RNAcentral lists this small nucleolar RNA (219 nucleotides) under Hordeum vulgare. Its description in RNAcentral is "Plant small nucleolar RNA U3". It matches the Rfam family "Plant small nucleolar RNA U3". From Rfam's summary of the family: Small nucleolar RNAs (snoRNAs) are involved in the processing and modification of rRNA in the nucleolus. Lineage: Eukaryota; Viridiplantae; Streptophyta; Magnoliopsida; Poales; Poaceae. The record is from RNAcentral.
ACGACCUUACUUGAACAGGAUCUGUUCUAUAGGCUCGUACCGCGGCAUCCUUUACCAAUAAGGAGGCAAGCACUUCAGUCUGGUUGAUGCAUUCUGACCUCUGGGCCAGAGCGUGAUUGACGGCCAAGAUUUCUCUGAUGGGGUAAUCUGACGGCUGUAGAGGAUCGUUCCUGCCUGGCCUCGCCUGUGCAGGGUGGCCCAGAGGUUGUCUGACAGACC